RNAcentral lists this ribosomal RNA (327 nucleotides) under uncultured eukaryote. Its description in RNAcentral is "partial 18S ribosomal RNA". It matches the Rfam family "Eukaryotic small subunit ribosomal RNA", at positions 1470 to 1796 of the family's 1831-position model. The record is from RNAcentral.
CCCUUAGAUGUUCUGGGCCGCACACGCGCUACACUGAAGGAGGCAGCGUGUACUCCUGGAUCGAAAGAUUUGGGUAACCCGCGCAUCUCCUUCGUGCUAGGGAUUGAGGUUUGCAAUUAUCCUUCAUGAACGAGGAAUUCCCAGUAAGUGCAAGUCAUAAGCUUGCGCUGACUACGUCCCUGCCCUUUGUACACACCGCCCGUCGCUACUACCGAUUGAAUGAUUUAGUGAGGACUUCGGACUGGGACCGAUGCGGCUUUCGGGCUGCGUCGGUAUUCUGGAAAGAUGUCCAAACUGUAUCAUUUAGAGGAAGUAAAAGUCGUAACA